RNAcentral lists this ribosomal RNA (301 nucleotides) under uncultured bacterium. RNAcentral's name for it is "partial 16S ribosomal RNA". It matches the Rfam family "Archaeal small subunit ribosomal RNA", at positions 459 to 760 of the family's 1478-position model. The record is from RNAcentral.
CAGUAGCCGCGGUAAUACCAGCAGCCCAAGUGGUGGUCGCGUUUAUUGGGCCUAAAGCGCUCGUAGCCUGGCCGGUAAGUUCCCCGUGAAAUCGGGUCGCCCAACGAUUCGGCUUGCGGGGAAUACUGUCGGUCUUGGGGCCGGGAGACGCCGAGGGUACUCCGGGGGUAGCGGUGAAAUGCUGUAAUCCUCGGGGGACUACCAGUGGCGAAGGCGCUCGGCGAUAACGGGCCUGACGGUGAGGGGCGAAAGCUGGGGCGCGAACGGGAUUAGAUACCCGCGUAGUCCCUGUCUCUUAUCC